RNAcentral lists this long non-coding RNA (447 nucleotides) under Mytilus galloprovincialis (Mediterranean mussel). The record is from RNAcentral. Lineage: Eukaryota; Metazoa; Mollusca; Bivalvia; Mytilida; Mytilidae.
CCUCGACCUCAUUUCAUGGAUCAGUGAACAAGGUUAAGUUUUGGUGGUCAAGUCCAUAUCUCAGAUACUAUAAGCAAUAGGGCUAGUAUAUUCGGUGUAUGGAAGGACUGUAAGGUGUACAUGUCCAACUGGCAGGUGUCAUCUGACCUUGACCUCAUUUUCAUGGUUCAGUGGUUAUAGUUAAAUUUUUGUGUUUUGGUCUGUUUUUCUCAUACUAUAUGCAAUAGGUCUACUAUAUUUGUUGUAUGGAAUGAUUGUAAAGUGUACAUGUCUAGCGGGCAGAUGUCAUGUGACCUUGACCUCAUUUUCAUGGUUCAGUGGUCAAAGUUAAGUUUUUGAGUUUUGGUCUUUUUAUCUAAUACUAUAUGCCAUAGGUCAACUAUAUUUGGUGUAUGGAAAUAUUUUAUGAUCUUUAUGUCAGUCGCGCAGGUUUUAUUUGACCGUGAC